UACAGAGGCUACGAGCGUUGUUCGGAAUUACUGGGCGUAAAGGGCGCGUAGGCGGUUUCAUAAGUCAGAUGUGAAAGCCUGGGGCUUAACCCCAGAAGUGCAUUUGAAACUGUGAGGCUAGAGUGCAGUAGAGAAUGGCGGAAUUCCCAGUGGAGAGGUGAAAUUCGUAGAUAUUGGGAGGAACACCGGUGGCGAAGGCGGCCAUUUGGGCUGUAACUGACGCUGAGGCGCGAAAGCGUGGGUAGCAAACAGG
This 253-nucleotide ribosomal RNA is filed under the name uncultured bacterium. RNAcentral describes it as "partial 16S ribosomal RNA". It matches the Rfam family "Bacterial small subunit ribosomal RNA", at positions 524 to 776 of the family's 1533-position model. The record is from RNAcentral.